RNAcentral lists this ribosomal RNA (2293 nucleotides) under human gut metagenome. RNAcentral describes it as "bacterial LSU rRNA". It matches the Rfam family "Bacterial large subunit ribosomal RNA", at positions 467 to 2633 of the family's 2925-position model. The record is from RNAcentral.
UAAAUACUCCCGAGAGACCGAUAGCGAACCAGUACCGUGAGGGAAAGGUGAAAAGCACUUCGAACAGAAGAGUGAAAGAGUUCCUGAAACCGUGCGCCUACAAUCCGUCGGAGCCUCCUUGUGGGGUGACGGCGUGCCUAUCGAAAAAUGAGUCUGCGAGUCAGUGGUGCGUGGCGAGGCUAACCCGUGGUGGGGGAGCCGUAGCGAAGGCGAGUCUCAAAAGGCGUUUUGAGUCGCGCGCCCUGGACCCGAAGCGGGAUGAUCUAGCCCUGGGCAGGUUGAAGCGCGGGUAAGACCGCGUGGAGGACCGAACCCACCUGGGUUGAAAACCGGGGGGAUGACCUGGGGCUAGGGGUGAAAGGCCAAUCAAAUUCCGUGAUAGCUGGUUCUCUCCGAAAUGCAUUUAGGUGCAGCGUCGGUUGAUUGCAUCGCGGGGGUAGAGCUACUGGAUGCUUGCGGGCCCGUGUCGGGUACCAAUAGCAGCCAAACUCCGAAUACCGUGGAUGUGUAUUCCGGCAGUGAGUCGGCGGGGGAUAAGCUCCGUCGUCGAGAGGGAGACAGCCCAGAUCGUCGUCUAAGGUCCCGAAGCGUGUGCUAAGUGGGAAAGGAUGUGGAGUCGCAUAGACAGCCAGGAGGUUGGCUCAGAAGCAGCCAUCCUUUAAAGAGUGCGUAACAGCUCACUGGUCUAGUGGUUCCGCGCCGACAAUGUAGCGGGGCUCAAGCACACCACCGAAGACGCGGCAGCGGCCUUUGCGGCCGUUGGGUAGGAGAGCGUCCCGCGUGGGGCGAAGCGGCCGGGGAACCGUGCCGUGGACCGCGCGGGAGUGAGAAUGCAGACAUGAGUAGCGAGAGACGGGUGAGGAUCCCGUCCGCUGGAUGACCAAGGGUUCCGGGGCCACGUUCGUCGUCCCCGGGUGAGUCGGGUCCUAAGGCGAGGCCGACAGGCGUAGUCGAAUGGAUGAACGGGUGGAUAUUCCCGUACCGGCGGCGUACCGUAAGAGCCGAACGGAUGAGUACUAACCUCCGGUCGCGUGGCGUCGUUCCCUUCGGGGUUCGGGGCGCGUGGCUGUUGGGAGCGUAGUCCUGGUAGGCUAGCGCACAGGGGUGACACGGAAUGGGAGCCGGCCGCGGAGGUGGUUUUCCGUGGUCAAGCACGCAGCCCGUCCCAUAGGCAAAUCCGUGGGACGCAUAGGGUGAGGUGUGAUGAUGGGCGUCCUUUGGACGCGAUAUCCGGUGGUCCAGGCCGUCGAGAAAAGCCUCGGCGCGAGGGGCGUCGCCGCCCGUACCCCAAACCGACACUGGUGGUCAGGUAGAGAAUACCAAGGCGAUCGAGCGAAUCCUGGUCAAGGAACUCGGCAAAUCACUCCCGUGCCUUCGGUAUAAGGGAGACCCCCGGGCGUGAAGAGGCUUGCCCUCGGAGCGUUGGGGGGUGGCACAGACCAGGGGGUAGCGACUGUUUACCAAAAACACAGGUGCAUGCGAAGGCGCAAGCCGCUGUAUAUGCACUGACGCCUGCCCGGUGCCGGAAGGUUAAGAGGAUCCGUCAGCCCCUUUUGGGGUGAAGCGGUGAAUUCAAGCCCCGGUAAACGGCGGUGGUAACUAUAACCAUCCUAAGGUAGCGAAAUUCCUUGUCGGGUAAGUUCCGACCUGCACGAAUGGCGUAACGACUUCCCCACUGUCUCGACCAGGAGCUCGGCGAAAUUGCAGUACGAGUAAAGAUGCUCGUUAAGCGCAGAAGGACGAAAAGACCCCGGGACCUUUACUAUACCUUGGUAUUGGCGUUAGGCGCGGAUUGUGUAGCAUAGGCGGGAGGCUUCGAAGCAUGGGCGCCAGCCCGUGUGGAGCCGCAAGGUGAAAUACCGCUCUGUUCUCGUUUGACGUCUAACCUCGAACAGUCAUCCUGUUCAGGGACAGUGCCUGGCGGGUAGUUUAACUGGGGCGGUUGCCUCCCAAAGAGUAACGGAGGCGCUCAAAGGUCCGCUCAGCCCGGUUGGCAAUCGGGUUUCGAGUGUAAUCGCACAAGCGGGCUUGACUGCGAGAACGACGGUUCGGGCAGGGACGAAAGUCGGAGAUAGUGAUCCGGUGCCGGCGCACGGGCGCGGCAUCGCUCAACGGAUAAAAGGUACCCCGGGGAUAACAGGCUGAUCAUUCCCAAGAGUCCAUAUCGACGGGAUGGUUUGGCACCUCGAUGUCGGCUCGUCGCAUCCUGGGGCUGGAGUAGGUCCCAAGGGUUGGGCUGUUCGCCCAUUAAAGCGGUACGCGAGCUGGGUUCAGAACGUCGUGAGACAGUUCG